RNAcentral lists this ribosomal RNA (465 nucleotides) under Parabornia squillina. RNAcentral's name for it is "partial 16S rRNA". It matches the Rfam family "Bacterial large subunit ribosomal RNA", at positions 1829 to 2597 of the family's 2925-position model. Lineage: Eukaryota; Metazoa; Mollusca; Bivalvia; Galeommatida; Lasaeidae. The record is from RNAcentral.
CGCCCUUAGGUUUUAGGUAUUAGGGGUUGGGCCUGCCCGGUGGUAAUCUUAACGGCCGCAGUUAGUAGCUGUGCUAAGGUAGCGUAAUAAGUUGUCCUUUAAAUGAGGAAAGGAAUGAAUGGUUUGACGUAAGAAUUUCUGUCUCUAAGAGAUGAUUAGAAGUUUUCUUCUCAGUGAAAAGUCUGAGAAAAAAUUAAAAGACGAGAAGACCCUUUUGAGCUUAACUUACCAUGUUAUAUGAAAUUUGGGAAAAUUUGGUUGGGGCAACCAGGGAGCAAGAUUAACCUCCUUUAUUGGUAUUUAGAUCCAGAAUUUUUGAAAAAAGAAAAAGCUACCAUAGGGAUAACAGCGUUAUCUUCCUUGAGAGAACAAAUUGAAGGGAGGGUUUGCGACCUCGAUGUUGAAUUAAAGUUUCCGUUUGGCGCAGAAGCUUUUAUGGUAAGACUGUUCGUCUUUUAAAGCUUU